Ciona intestinalis (vase tunicate) is the source of this 251-nucleotide non-coding RNA. Lineage: Eukaryota; Metazoa; Chordata; Ascidiacea; Phlebobranchia; Cionidae. The record is from RefSeq and is a predicted model, not a curated record.
UAUACUAGGUGUUGUUUAAUGUGGUUUGUCUGUGUGGAGGAAUACAUCAAAGUGUUUAUUAAUGUAGAUAUUUCUUUGUUUGUUUCUUUUAAGCGGCGUUUCCACUACAGUGUAGCUCGCCUCGGUGUCAAAUUAAUAAAUAAAAAAAUAUCUACACCCAGCGUUGUUCAGCGCAGAUAUUUCUUUGUUUGUUUCUUUUGAGCGGCGUUUACACUACAUCGUAGCUCGCCUCGGUGUUAAAAGAAUAAACA